AAAGCUACAGCUGGCACAGAGGCAAACCAGCGUCCACGUUUAUAGUUUCUUUACGAUGGUCCAUGAGUGAAGAAAAUGUAUCAAGUCGAGGACGUGGACAACAGUUUUGGUGCGUCUUCGGUUUCUGAGAAUUCAGGUACAUAGAUUUGCGUAGUAAUUCAUGGCAUGUUUAAACUACACGAUGUCUCUAGUUCAUGUAUUUCCUCUCCAGGACAAGGGGUGAUUUUUAAACCACUGUGUUGCCAGACGCACAAAAAAAUUCCAGCCUUACAUUUGUAGGAUGACGAAAAAACGUAGCCGUAAAGUAUAAUAACAUUUCUUGCUCUUUUUGCGUGACACAGGUGGCUUAUGUCUCUUAGACUUUCUGGCAUGUACGUGCCAACAUAUAAUUCAAUGGCACGUGUUCCUGGCAAUAGUAUUUUUACGCGUUAUUUUCAGGUGGUGAAUUACCACACUGUUCAUUAGGACCAAAUGGGUGUCACAGGACAAUCUACGUGAAAGAACUUGUACCAAGCAUGCCUCAUGGGGUCCUUCCAUAGCCAGCUGUUGCUGAAGCGCCUGUACUAAGUGUCUUGGUCUCAGGAGCCCCCAUCUACACCAACAGGAAGGGGCUGAAGCCUAAUUCGUAAGGUUUUUAUACCAUGAACGAAGAGGCGGAUGCAGAAGUAUUUAGAUGAGAUAUCAAGUCUGCGGAGGACUGUUUCAAGACUGAAAAAGGCCUCUGUCAUCAUUCCGCAAACAUGAAUAUUGGCCGAGUCAUUCAGUGGUGACUGUCAGUGCAAACAAGUGGGACAUGCUGCACAAUCUUCUUGUGCUGCUAGUUGUCACUCAUGACUGGACUGCUAUGUGCGACGACUAAGGUAAGCUGCUUACGAGCUCACACUAAUGGUUUCAGCAUAUCUGGACAUGCAAAUUUCAUUUCUGCUCUUGUGAAAGGAGGAGCUCUGCUCAUUUCCUGUCAAUAAACUUUCACAUCCUGUUCA
RNAcentral lists this long non-coding RNA (983 nucleotides) under Dermacentor andersoni. Its description in RNAcentral is "uncharacterized LOC126521207". Lineage: Eukaryota; Metazoa; Arthropoda; Arachnida; Ixodida; Ixodidae. The record is from RNAcentral.